RNAcentral lists this transfer RNA (73 nucleotides) under Phytophthora boehmeriae. It matches the Rfam family "tRNA". From Rfam's summary of the family: Transfer RNA (tRNA) molecules are approximately 80 nucleotides in length. Lineage: Eukaryota; Oomycota; Peronosporomycetes; Peronosporales; Peronosporaceae. The record is from Rfam by way of RNAcentral.
UCCCACAUAGUCUAGUUGGCUAGGACAGCUUGGUCUCACCCAGCAGACCCGGGUUCGAGUCCCGGUGUGGGAA